GCCCGGCUAGCUCAGUCGGUAGAGCGUUGAACUCUUAAUCCAACGGUCGUGGGUUCGAGCCCCACGUUGGGCG
Ciona savignyi (Pacific transparent sea squirt) is the source of this 73-nucleotide non-coding RNA. The record is from Rfam. NCBI's taxonomy places the organism in Eukaryota, Metazoa, Chordata, Ascidiacea, Phlebobranchia, Cionidae.